Molecule: transfer RNA, 71 nt
Filed under: Sphingobacteriales bacterium
Lineage: Bacteria; Pseudomonadati; Bacteroidota; Sphingobacteriia; Sphingobacteriales
Description: tRNA-Trp
Rfam family: tRNA
About the family: Transfer RNA (tRNA) molecules are approximately 80 nucleotides in length. Their secondary structure includes four short double-helical elements and three loops (D, anti-codon, and T loops). Further hydrogen bonds mediate the characteristic L-shaped molecular structure. tRNAs have two regions of fundamental functional importance: the anti-codon, which is responsible for specific mRNA codon recognition, and the 3' end, to which the tRNAs corresponding amino acid is attached (by aminoacyl-tRNA synthetases). tRNAs cope with the degeneracy of the genetic code in two manners: having more than one tRNA (with a specific anti-codon) for a particular amino acid; and 'wobble' base-pairing, i.e. permitting non-standard base-pairing at the 3rd anti-codon position.
Source: RNAcentral
GGGGGGGUAGUUUAAUGGUAGAACGAGAGUCUCCAAAAUUUUUGGUGUGGGUUCGAUUCCCACCCUCCCUG